AGAGUUUGAUCCUGGCUCAGGAUAAACGCUGGCGGCGUGCCUAACACAUGCAAGUCGAACGCCCUCUCGCAAGAGAGGGAGUGGCGGACGGGUGAGGAACACGUGGGUACCUCCCUCUCAGUGAGGAAUACCGGCGAGAAAUCGCCGACAAUACCGCAUACGCUUCGCAAGAAGCAAAGCUCGCAAGAGCGCUGGGAGAU
Molecule: ribosomal RNA, 200 nt
Filed under: uncultured bacterium
Lineage: Bacteria
Description: partial 16S ribosomal RNA
Rfam family: Bacterial small subunit ribosomal RNA
Source: RNAcentral